GGGUACUCGAGUGGCGAACGGGUGAGUAACACGUGGGUGAUCUGCCUUGCACUUCGGGAUAAGCCUGGGAAACUGGGUCUAAUACCGGAUAGGACCAUGCUUUAGUGUGUGUGGUGGAAAGUUUUUUCGGUGCAAGAUGAGCCCGCGGCCUAUCAGCUUGUUGGUGGGGUAAUGGCCUACCAAGGCGGCGACGGGUAGCCGGCCUGAGAGGGUGUACGGCCACAUUGGGACUGAGACACGGCCCAGACUCCUACGGGAGGCAGCAGUGGGGAAUAUUGCACAAUGGGCGCAAGCCUGAUGCAGCGACGCCGCGUGGGGGAUGACGGCCUUCGGGUUGUAAACUCCUUUCGCUAGGGAAGAAGCCACUGUGUGGUGACGGUACCUGGAUAAGAAGCACCGGCUAACUACGUGCCAGCAGCCGCGGUAAUACGUAGGGUGCGAGCGUUGUCCGGAAUUACUGGGCGUAAAGAGCUCGUAGGUGGUUUGUCGCGUCGUCUGUGAAAUCCCGGGGCUUAACUUCGGGCGUGCAGGCGAUACGGGCAUAACUAGAGUGCUGUAGGGGAGACUGGAAUUCCUGGUGUAGCGGUGAAAUGCGCAGAUAUCAGGAGGAACACCGAUGGCGAAGGCAGGUCUCUGGGCAGUUACUGACGCUGAGGAGCGAAAGCAUGGGUAGCGAACAGGAUUAGAUACCCUGGUAGUCCAUGCCGUAAACGGUGGGCGCUAGGUGUGGGGUUUUAUUUACGAUUCCCGUGCCGUAGCUAACGCAUUAAGCGCCCCGCCUGGGGAUACGCCGCAAG
Molecule: ribosomal RNA, 797 nt
Filed under: uncultured Actinomycetes bacterium
Lineage: Bacteria; Bacillati; Actinomycetota; Actinomycetes
Description: bacterial SSU rRNA
Rfam family: Bacterial small subunit ribosomal RNA
Source: RNAcentral